Pelobates cultripes (western spadefoot toad) is the source of this 246-nucleotide non-coding RNA. The record is from the annotation of a GenBank genome assembly. NCBI's taxonomy places the organism in Eukaryota, Metazoa, Chordata, Amphibia, Anura, Pelobatidae.
AAAGUCAUCAAAAUGUCUUGAAGGGUUACUCACCAAAAUGUGAAUUUCUGUGAAUUUAAAGUGAAUUUUAAAAUUUAGUUCAUAAUAGUCGAACUGCAAACAUGACUGUUCUGGGAGAAGUUUUCCAGUUUUUCUGGUUUAAACUAACUCUGAAAUUCACUCGGAUCCCUUUCUUUACAUAGUUACAUAGUUACAUGGUUACAUAGUUACAUAGUUACAUAGUUACAGUGUCCAUCAAGUUCAGCC